GGCUUAGGAUGAACGCUAGCGACAGGCUUAACACAUGCAAGUCGAGGGGUAACAGGGUAGCAAUACCGCUGACGACCGGCGCACGGGUGAGUAACGCGUAUGCAACCUGCCUAUAACUGGGGAAUAGCUCCCUGAAAGGGGAAUUAACACCGCAUAACACUAUUGAUUCGCAUGGAUUGGUAGUUAAAUGUAGCGAUACAGGUUAUAGAUGGGCAUGCGUGACAUUAGCUAGUUGGUGAGGUAACGGCUCACCAAGGCUACGAUGUCUAGGGGUUCUGAGAGGAAGGUCCCCCACACUGGUACUGAGACACGGACCAGACUCCUACGGGAGGCAGCAGUGAGGAAUAUUGGUCAAUGGGCGCAAGCCUGAACCAGCCAUGUCGCGUGCAGGAAGACUGCCCUAUGGGUUGUAAACUGCUUUUAUAGUAGAAGAAACACAUCUACGUGUAGAUGUCUGCCAGUAUACUAUGAAUAAGCAUCGGCUAACUCCGUGCCAGCCGCAGC
RNAcentral lists this ribosomal RNA (504 nucleotides) under uncultured bacterium. Its description in RNAcentral is "bacterial SSU rRNA". It matches the Rfam family "Bacterial small subunit ribosomal RNA", at positions 21 to 518 of the family's 1533-position model. The record is from RNAcentral.